CAAUAGCGUAUAUUAAAGUUGUUGCAGUUAGAACGCUCGUAGUCGGAUUUCGGGGCGGGCCGACCGGUCUGCCGAUGGGUACGCACUGGUCGGCGCGUCCUUCCUUCCGGAGACCGUUCCUACUCUUAACUGAGCGGGGGCGGGAGACGGAUCGUUUACUUUGGAAAAAUCAGAGUGUUUCAAGCAGGCAGCUCGCUCUUGCAUGGAUUAGCAUGGGAUAAUGAAAUAGGACUUUGGUGCUAUUUUGUUGGUUUCGAACACCGAAGUAAUGAUUAAAAGGGACAGUCAGGGGCACUCGUAUUCCGCCGAGAGAGGUGAAAUUCUCAGACCAGCGGAAGACGAACUACUGCGAAAGCAUUUGCCAGGGAUGUUUUCACUGA
Molecule: ribosomal RNA, 380 nt
Filed under: uncultured eukaryote
Lineage: Eukaryota
Description: partial 18S ribosomal RNA
Rfam family: Eukaryotic small subunit ribosomal RNA
Source: RNAcentral